Pimephales promelas (fathead minnow) is the source of this 223-nucleotide non-coding RNA. Lineage: Eukaryota; Metazoa; Chordata; Actinopteri; Cypriniformes; Leuciscidae. The record is from RefSeq and is a predicted model, not a curated record.
AAGUUGGAUCUGCACAACCUUUUCUGCUCUGUGAAACAACUGCACUGAACUUUACUGUUAGCGACUGGAUACAGCUGAUCCACUCAUAUCCUGCUACUGUUUUUCAUCUGCUGAAUGUUUUUGACUCAAGCACUGCUGUACUGUUGCAAAGUCAAAGUGAACAGAAUUCUACUAUGAUCCCAGACUUUUUGGAUUGUUUUGAAAUAAAGUUUUUUAAGAGUAA